ACUGCUCAGUAACACGUGGAUAACCUGCCCUUGGGUCCGGCAUAACCCCGGGAAACUGGGGAUAAUUCCGGAUAACGCACAUAUGCUGGAAUGCUUUAUGCGUAAAAUGGAUUCGUCUGCCCAAGGAUGGGUCUGCGGCCUAUCAGGUAGUAGUGGGUGUAAUGUACCUACUAGCCUACAACGGGUACGGGUUGUGAGAGCAAGAGCCCGGAGAUGGAUUCUGAGACAUGAAUCCAGGCCCUACGGGGCGCAGCAGGCGCGAAAACUUUACAAUGCGGGAAACCGUGAUAAGGGGACACCGAGUGCUAGCAUCAUAUGCUGGCUGUCCAGGUGUGUAAAAUACACCUGUUAGCAAGGGCCGGGCAAGACCGGUGCCAGCCGCCGCGGUAACACCGGCGGCCCGAGUGGUGAUCGUGAUUAUUGGGUCUAAAGGGUCCGUAGCCGGUUUGGUCAGUCCUCCGGGAAAUCUGACAGCUCAACUGUUAGGCUUUCGGGGGAUACUGCCAGACUUGGAACCGGGAGAGGUAAGAGGUACUACAGGGGUAGGAGUGAAAUCUUGUAAUCCCUGUGGGACCACCUGUGGCGAAGGCGUCUUACCAGAACGGGUUCGACGGUGAGGGACGAAAGCUGGGGGCACGAACCGGAUUAGAUACCCGGGUAGUCCCAGCCGUAAACGAUGCUCGCUAGGUGUCAGGCAUGGCGCGACCGUGUCUGGUGCCGCAGGGAAGCCGUGAAGCGAGCCACCUGGGAAGUACGGCCGCAAGGCUGAAACUUAAAGGAAUUGGCGGGGGAGCACAACAACGGGUGGAGCCUGCGGUUUAAUUGGACUCAACGCCGGACAACUCACCGGGGACGACAGCAAUAUGUAGGCCAGGCUGAAGACCUUGCCUGAAUCGCUGAGAGGAGGUGCAUGGCCGUCGCCAGUUCGUACUGUGAAGCAUCCUGUUAAGUCAGGCAACGAGCGAGACCCCUACC
This 975-nucleotide ribosomal RNA is filed under the name uncultured archaeon. Its description in RNAcentral is "bacterial SSU rRNA". It matches the Rfam family "Archaeal small subunit ribosomal RNA", at positions 85 to 1058 of the family's 1478-position model. The record is from RNAcentral.